Molecule: ribosomal RNA, 301 nt
Filed under: uncultured bacterium
Lineage: Bacteria
Description: partial 16S ribosomal RNA
Rfam family: Bacterial small subunit ribosomal RNA
Source: RNAcentral
CAGCAGCCGCGGGAAUACAGAGGGUGCGAGCGUUAAUCGGAUUUACUGGGCGUAAAGCGUGCGUAGGCGGCUUUUUAAGUCGGAUGUGAAAUCCCUGAGCUUAACUUAGGAAUUGCAUUCGAUACUGGGAAGCUAGAGUAUGGGAGAGGAUGGUAGAAUUCCAGGUGUAGCGGUGAAAUGCGUAGAGAUCUGGAGGAAUACCGAUGGCGAAGGCAGCCAUCUGGCCUAAUACUGACGCUAAGGUACGAAAGCAUGGGGAGCAAACAGGAUUAGAUACCCCUGUAGUCCCUGUCUCUUAUAC